Molecule: ribosomal RNA, 274 nt
Filed under: uncultured bacterium
Lineage: Bacteria
Description: partial 16S ribosomal RNA
Rfam family: Bacterial small subunit ribosomal RNA
Source: RNAcentral
AGACGGAGGGGGCUAGCGUUGUUCGGAAUUACUGGGCGUAAAGCGCGCGUAGGCGGAUUGAUCAGUCAGAGGUGAAAUCCCAGGGCUCAACCCUGGAACUGCCUUUGAUACUGUCAGUCUUGAGAUCGAGAGAGGUGAGUGGAAUUCCGAGUGUAGAGGUGAAAUUCGUAGAUAUCCGGAGGAACACCAGUGGCGAAGGCGGCUCACUGGCUCGAUACUGACGCUGAGGUGCGAAAGCGUGGGGAGCAAACAGGAUUAGAUACCCCGGUAGUCC